This 1350-nucleotide ribosomal RNA is filed under the name metagenome. Its description in RNAcentral is "bacterial LSU rRNA". It matches the Rfam family "Bacterial large subunit ribosomal RNA", at positions 1564 to 2925 of the family's 2925-position model. The record is from RNAcentral.
UGAGUACGAGCUGCUACGGCAGCGAAGUGGGUGAUGUCAAGCUUCCAAGAAAAGCCCUAUACCCGUUAAGGCAUGACGGCCUGUACCCGAAACCGACACAGGUGGGGUGGUAGAGAAUACCGAGGGGCGCGAGAUAACUCUCUCUAAGGAACUCGGCAAAAUGGCCCCGUAACUUCGGGAGAAGGGGUGCCAUCGCAAGGUGGUCGCAGUGAAGAGGCCCAGGCGACUGUUUACCAAAAACACAGGUCUCCGCUAAGUCGCAAGACGAUGUAUGGGGGCUGACGCCUGCCCAGUGCCGGAAGGUUAAGGAAGCUGGUCAGCGCAAGCGAAGCUAGCGACUGAAGCCCCGGUGAACGGCGGCCGUAACUAUAACGGUCCUAAGGUAGCGAAAUUCCUUGUCGGGUAAGUUCCGACCCGCACGAAAGGCGUAACGAUCUGGGCGCUGUCUCGGAGAGAGGCUCGGCGAAAUAGAAUUGUCUGUGAAGAUGCGGACUACGUGCACCCGGACAGAAAGACCCUAUGAAGCUUUACUGUAGCUUGGUAUUGUGCCCGGGCUCUGAAUGCGCAGGAUAGGUGGGAGGCUUUGAUCCAUGGCUUGCGGGUCAUGGUGAGCCAACGGUGAGAUACCACUCUUUCAGAGCUAGGGUUCUAACAGCCACCCGUUAUCCGGGGGCUGGACAGUAUCAGGUGGGCAGUUUGACUGGGGCGGUCGCCUCCUAAAAGGUAACGGAGGCGCGCAAAGGUUUGCUCAGGCUGGUUGGAAAUCAGCCGACGAGUGCAAAAGCAGAAGCAAGCUUGACUGUGAGACCAACAAGUCGAACAGGGACGAAAGUCGGCUUUAGUGAUCCGACGGUUCUGAGUGGAAGGGCCGUCGCUCAACGGAUAAAAGUUACUCUAAGGAUAACAGGCUGAUCCCCCCCAAGAGUUCACAUCGACGGGGAGGUUUGGCACCUCGAUGUCGGCUCAUCGCAACCUGGGGCUGAAGUCGGUCCCAAGGGUUGGGCUGUUCGCCCAUUAAAGCGGUACGCGAGCUGGGUUCAGAACGUCGUGAGACAGUUCGGUCCAUAUCCGGUGCAUGCGUAAGAACAUUGAGAGGAGUUCUCCCUAGUACGAGAGGACCGGGAGGAACGCACCUCUGGUGUACCAGUUAUCGUGCCAACGGUAAACGCUGGGUAGCCAUGUGCGGAGAGGAUAACCGCUGAAAGCAUCUAAGUGGGAAGCCCACCUCAAGAUGAGUGUUCUCAUGGCUUAAGCCAGUAAGGUCACGGGAAGAACACCCGUUGAUAGGCUCUACGUGGAAGCGCAGCAAUGUGUGAAGCGGAGGAGUACUAAUAGACCGAGGGCUUGACC